UUUCGACCUGAGCUCAGGCAAGGCUACCCGCUGAACUUAAGCAUAUCAAUAAGCCGGAGGAAGGGAUCAUUGAAUUAUUAAAACCACAAUGUGAACCUUAUUGAUCCGUGCCUUUGCUGCCAGCAGGGAAUCAGCUUUGCCUGAUUGGACUUGCAAGCUGGUGCGAGUUUUAUACUUGCAUCAGGGGCCUUGGGAAGCUUUACACCAGGGUAACCCUGGCAAACAAAACUGAAGUUUGAUUGUUUUAAUGGGGACCUUACCAAGAAACUUCAAACGGAAAUUUGGGCCUCCACACUUAAAAACCCGCAAUGGCAACCUUUUGGGAAUUGCAAAAUCCUGGCACCCCAAUUUUUGAACCAAUGGGCCCCCCCCGGGAAAAAAUGUUUCCCAGGGGGGGUUUACCCCCCCCCCCUUGGGGAAGGGGGGUGAUCCUUGUGGGCCCAAAAGGGGGAACGGGUUCCCCUUUGGUUUUUUCUCAAAGGGGGGGGGGAAAGUU
Molecule: ribosomal RNA, 496 nt
Filed under: Scenedesmus quadricauda
Lineage: Eukaryota; Viridiplantae; Chlorophyta; Chlorophyceae; Sphaeropleales; Scenedesmaceae
Description: partial 28S ribosomal RNA
Source: RNAcentral